RNAcentral lists this ribosomal RNA (962 nucleotides) under Escherichia coli. RNAcentral's name for it is "partial 23S ribosomal RNA". It matches the Rfam family "Bacterial large subunit ribosomal RNA", at positions 1968 to 2925 of the family's 2925-position model. The record is from RNAcentral. Lineage: Bacteria; Pseudomonadati; Pseudomonadota; Gammaproteobacteria; Enterobacterales; Enterobacteriaceae.
CUUGUCGGGUAAGUUCCGACCCGCACGAAAGGUGCAACGACUUGGGCACUGUCUCAACGAGAGACCCGGUGAAAUUAUACGAUGCGUGAAGAUGCGCAUUACCCGCGACAGGACGGAAAGACCCCGUGGAGCUUUACUGUAGCCUGAUAUUGAAUGUCUGUGCAGCUUGUACAGGAUAGGUGGGAGCCUUAGAAACGUGAGCGCCAGCUUACGUGGAGGCAUCCGUGGGAUACCACCCUGGCUGUAUGGACCUUCUAACCCAGGACCGUGAUCCGGUUCGGAGACAGUGUCAGGCGGGCAGUUUGACUGGGGCGGUCGCCUCCCAAAAGGUAACGGAGGCGCCCAAAGGUUCCCUCAGAAUGGUUGGAAAUCAUUCGCAGAGUGUAAAGGCAGAAGGGAGCUUGACUGCGAGACCUACAAGUCGAGCAGGGACGAAAGUCGGGCUUAGUGAUCCGGUGGUUCCGCAUGGAAGGGCCAUCGCUCAACGGAUAAAAGCUACCCCGGGGAUAACAGGCUUAUCUCCCCCAAGAGUUCACAUCGACGGGGAGGUUUGGCACCUCGAUGUCGGCUCAUCGCAUCCUGGGGCUGUAGUCGGUCCCAAGGGUUGGGCUGUUCGCCCAUUAAAGCGGUACGCGAGCUGGGUUCAGAACGUCGUGAGACAGUUCGGUCCCUAUCCGUCGUGGGCGUUGGAAGUUUGAGAGGAGCUGUCCUUAGUACGAGAGGACCGGGAUGGACAUACCGCUGGUGUACCAGUUGUUCCGCCAGGAGCAUAGCUGGGUAGCUACGUAUGGAAAGGAUAAGUGCUGAAAGCAUCUAAGCAUGAAGCCCCCCUCAAGAUGAGACUUCCCAUCAUUUUAAAUGAGUAAGAUCCCUCAGAGACGAUGAGGUUAAUAGGUUUGAGGUGGAAGCGUGGCGACACGUGGAGCUGACAAAUACUAAUCGAUCGAGGACUUAACUAACUU